Molecule: transfer RNA, 93 nt
Filed under: Candidatus Altimarinota bacterium
Lineage: Bacteria; Candidatus Altimarinota
Description: tRNA-Ser
Rfam family: tRNA
About the family: Transfer RNA (tRNA) molecules are approximately 80 nucleotides in length.
Source: RNAcentral
GGAAGGGUACUCAAGUGGCUGAAGAGGCGGGUUUGCUAAACCUGUAGGGUGUCGUAAGAUGCCGCGGGGGUUCGAAUCCCCCUCCUUCCGCCA